RNAcentral lists this ribosomal RNA (468 nucleotides) under uncultured bacterium. RNAcentral's name for it is "partial 16S ribosomal RNA". It matches the Rfam family "Bacterial small subunit ribosomal RNA", at positions 28 to 507 of the family's 1533-position model. The record is from RNAcentral.
GACGAACGCUGGCGGCGUGCUUAACACAUGCAAGUCGAACGGAAAGGCCCUGCUUUUGUGGGGUGCUCGAGUGGCGAACGGGUGAGUAACACGUGAGUAACCUGCCCUUGACUUUUGGAUAACUUCAGGUAACUGGGGCUAAUACCGUAUAGGAGCUCCUGCUGCAUGGUGGGGGUUGGAAAGUUUCGGCGGUUGGGGAUGGACUCGCGGCUUAUCAGCUUGUUGGUGGGGUAGUGGCUUACCAAGGCUUUGACGGGUAGCCGGCCUGAGAGGGUGACCGGCCACAUUGGGACUGAGAUACGGCCCAGACUCCUACGGGAGGCAGCAGUGGGGAAUAUUGCACAAUGGGCGGAAGCCUGAUGCAGCAACGCCGCGUGCGGGAUGACGGCCUUCGGGUUGUAAACCGCUUUCGCCUGUGACGAAGCGUGAGUGACGGUAAUGGGUAAAGAAGCACCGGCUAACUACGUG